Molecule: ribosomal RNA, 253 nt
Filed under: uncultured bacterium
Lineage: Bacteria
Description: partial 16S ribosomal RNA
Rfam family: Bacterial small subunit ribosomal RNA
Source: RNAcentral
UACGAGUGCCUCAAGCGUUAUCCGGAAUCAUUGGGCGUAAAGGAUGUGUAGGUGGUUGUGUUAGUUUUCUGUUAAAUUCUUCGGCUUAACCGGGGGCAUGCAGGGGAAACGGCACGACUAGAGGAUGCGAGGGGUCUGCGGAACUCAUAGUGUAGCGGUGAAAUGCGUUGAUAUUAUGGGGAACACCAAAAGCGAAGGCAGCAGACUGGAGCACUCCUGACACUGAAACAUGAAAGCGUGGGUCGCGAAUGGG